UACGUAGGGUGCGAGCGUUGUCCGGAAUCAUUGGGCGUAAAGGGUGCGUAGGCGGCGCGGUAAGUCGGGUGUGAAAUCUUGGAGCUUAACUCCGAAACUGCAUUCGAUACUGCCGUGCUUGAGGACUGGAGAGGAGAGUGGAAUUCCUGGUGUAGCGGUGAAAUGCGCAGAUAUCAGGAAGAACACCAAUGGCGAAGGCAGCUCUCUGGGACGGUACUGACGCUGAGACGCGAAAGCGUGGGGAGCGAACAGG
This 253-nucleotide ribosomal RNA is filed under the name uncultured bacterium. RNAcentral describes it as "partial 16S ribosomal RNA". It matches the Rfam family "Bacterial small subunit ribosomal RNA", at positions 524 to 776 of the family's 1533-position model. The record is from RNAcentral.